GAAUUAGUUCUCUCAAAGGAUAAGGGGUUUUGGAGAAAGGUGCGGGUGCAGCGUGUGGGUGUGAUGUAGGGGAAGGAGGGAGUCUAAUGAGGAAGGAGCCUGGAGGUCUUAUGUGUUGAGAAGAUAGAAGGGUUGGGUUUUUCCUGGUGGUUGUUUUAUUUGUAUUUUUUUUCCUCCCUUUUUUUGUGGGUUGGGAAGUGGAGAGGGUGAAUAUGCAAUGGGCGGUGCAAAGGGAGGAAGGAAAUGAUCGUAUAA
RNAcentral lists this long non-coding RNA (255 nucleotides) under Ananas comosus (pineapple). Its description in RNAcentral is "long non-coding RNA (ACOM_LNC026898)". The record is from RNAcentral. Lineage: Eukaryota; Viridiplantae; Streptophyta; Magnoliopsida; Poales; Bromeliaceae.